CAGGCCUAACACAUGCAAGUCGAACGAGAGCGACCGGUGCUUGCACUGGUCAAUCUAGUGGCGAACGGGUGAGUAACACGUGGGUAACCUGCCCAUCAGAGGGGGAUAACAUUCGGAAACGGAUGCUAAAACCGCAUAGGUCUUCGAACCGCAUGGUUUGAAGAGGAAAGAGGCGCAAGCUUCUGCUGAUGGAUGGACCCGCGGUGCAUUAGCUAGUUGGUGAGGUAACGGCUCACCAAGGCCGUGAUGCAUAGCCGACCUGAGAGGGUGAUCGGCCACAUUGGGACUGAGACACGGCCCAAACUCCUACGGGAGGCAGCAGUAGGGAAUCUUCCGCAAUGGACGCAAGUCUGACGGAGCAACGCCGCGUGAGUGAAGAAGGUUUUCGGAUCGUAAAACUCUGUUGUUAGAGAAGAACAAGUGCUAGAGUAACUGUUAGCGCCUUGACGGUAUCUAACCAGAAAGCCACGGCUAACUACGUGCCAGCAGCCGCGGUAAUACGUAGGUGGCAAGCGUUGUCCGGAUUUAUUGGGCGUAAAGCGAGCGCAGGCGGUUCCUUAAGUCUGAUGUGAAAGCCCCCGGCUCAACCGGGGAGGGUCAUUGGAAACUGGGGAACUUGAGUGCAGAAGAGGAGAGUGGAAUUCCAUGUGUAGCGGUGAAAUGCGUAGAUAUAUGGAGGAACACCAGUGGCGAAGGCGACUCUCUGGUCUGUAACUGACGCUGAGGCUCGAAAGCGUGGGUAGCAAACAGGAUUAGAUACCCUGGUAGUCCACGCCGUAAACGAUGAGUGCUAAGUGUUGGAGGGUUUCCGCCCUUCAGUGCUGCAGUUAACGCAUUAAGCACUCCGCCUGGGGAGUACGACCGCAAGGUUGAAACUCAAGGGAAUUGACGGGGACCCGCACAAGCGGUGGAGCAUGUGGUUUAAUUUCGAAGCACG
Molecule: ribosomal RNA, 937 nt
Filed under: uncultured bacterium
Lineage: Bacteria
Description: bacterial SSU rRNA
Rfam family: Bacterial small subunit ribosomal RNA
Source: RNAcentral